UACGUAGGGUGCGAGCGUUAAUCGGAAUUACUGGGCGUAAAGCGUGCGCAGGCGGUCUGUUAAGACCGAUGCGAAAUCCCCGGGCUUAACCUGGGAACUGCAUUGGUGACUGGCAGGCUUUGAGUGUGGCAGAGGGAGGUAGAAUUCCACGUGUAGCAGUGAAAUGCGUAGAGAUGUGGAGGAAUACCGAUGGCGAAGGCAGCCUCCUGGGCCAACACUGACGCUCAUGCACGAAAGCGUGGGGAGCAAACAGG
Molecule: ribosomal RNA, 254 nt
Filed under: uncultured bacterium
Lineage: Bacteria
Description: partial 16S ribosomal RNA
Rfam family: Bacterial small subunit ribosomal RNA
Source: RNAcentral